GAUGAACGCUGGCGGCGUGCCUAAUACAUGCAAGUCGAGCGAAUGGAUUAAGAGCUUGCUCUUAUGAAGUUAGCGGCGGACGGGUGAGUAACACGUGGGUAACCUGCCCAUAAGACUGGGAUAACUCCGGGAAACCGGGGCUAAUACCGGGUAACAUUUUGAACCGCAUGGUUCGAAAUUGAAAGGCGGCUUCGGCUGUCACUUAUGGAUGGACCCGCGUCGCAUUAGCUAGUUGGUGAGGUAACGGCUCACCAAGGCAACGAUGCGUAGCCGACCUGAGAGGGUGAUCGGCCACACUAGGACUGAGACACGGCCCAGACUCCUACGGGAGGCAGCAGUAGGGAAUCUUCCGCAAUGGACGAAAGUCUGACGGAGCAACGCCGCGUGAGUGAUGAAGGCUUUCGGGUCGUAAAACUCUGUUGUUAGGGAAGAACAAGUGCUAGUUGAAUAAGCUGGCACCUUGACGGUACCUAACCAGAAAGCCACGGCUAACUACGUGCCAGCAGCCGCGGUAA
RNAcentral lists this ribosomal RNA (515 nucleotides) under uncultured bacterium. Its description in RNAcentral is "partial 16S ribosomal RNA". It matches the Rfam family "Bacterial small subunit ribosomal RNA", at positions 28 to 523 of the family's 1533-position model. The record is from RNAcentral.